This 460-nucleotide ribosomal RNA is filed under the name uncultured bacterium. RNAcentral describes it as "partial 16S ribosomal RNA". It matches the Rfam family "Bacterial small subunit ribosomal RNA", at positions 338 to 795 of the family's 1533-position model. The record is from RNAcentral.
CCUACGGGUGGCAGCAGUGAGGAAUAUUGGUCAAUGGACGAGAGUCUGAACCAGCCAAGUAGCGUGAAGGAUGACUGCCCUAUGGGUUGUAAACUUCUUUUAUAUGGGAAUAAAAUGUUCCACGUGUGGGAUUUUGUAUGUACCAUAUGAAUAAGGAUCGGCUAACUCCGUGCCAGCAGCCGCGGUAAUACGGAGGAUCCGAGCGUUAUCCGGAUUUAUUGGGUUUAAAGGGAGCGUAGGUGGAUUGUUAAGUCAGUUGUGAAAGUUUGCGGCUCAACCGUAAAAUUGCAGUUGAAAAUGGCAGUCUUGAGUACAGUAGAGGUGGGCGGAAUUCGUGGUGUAGCGGUGAAAUGCUAAGAUAUCACGAAGAACUCCGAUUGCGAAGGCAGUUCACUGGACUGCAACUGACACUGAGGCUCGAAAGUGUGGGUAUCAAACAGGAUUAGAUACCCCUGUAGUC